CUAUACAUGCAAGUCGAACGGUAACAGGGAUAGCAAUAUCCGCUGACGAGUGGCGCACGGGUGCGUAACACGUAUGCNACCUACCUAUUACAGUGGGAUAGCCCGGAGAAAUUCGGAUUAAUACCGCAUGAUAAUAUUGAAAGGCAUCUUUUGAUAUUUAAAAUUUUCAAUGGUAAUAGAAGGGCAUGCGGCUGAUUAGCUAGUUGGUAGUGUAAUGGACUACCAAGGCAACGAUCAGUAGGGGUUCUGAGAGGAAGGUCCCCCACACUGGUACUGAGAUACGGACCAGACUCCUACGGGAGGCAGCAGUAGGGAAUAUUGGGCAAUGGGCGAGAGCCUGACCCAGCCAUGCCGCGUGCAGGAUGAAGGCCUUCUGGGUUGUAAACUGCUUUUGAUCGGGAACAAAACACCUAUGCGUAGGGAUUUGAGUGUACCGAUAGAAUAAGCACCGGCUAACUCCGUGCCAGCAGCCGCGGUAAU
Molecule: ribosomal RNA, 480 nt
Filed under: uncultured bacterium
Lineage: Bacteria
Description: bacterial SSU rRNA
Rfam family: Bacterial small subunit ribosomal RNA
Source: RNAcentral